UCUCCUAAAAAUACAGAAUUAUCUGGGCGAGGUAUCUGUCUUUUAUGCUGGAUAUUGCAGUCUGCUCAGUACUGCUGAGGGUAAUCUGUCCCCUAGGUCCUACAGCCAUGUGCCCUGAUAUGCCAAGUUUCAUCAGGUGGUAUCCCAGGUUAUGAGACUACAGCAGAAAAUCAUAAUUUAUAGAAUUUCUGCAUUUAUAGGCAGUGGAGGAGACUGCAAGAACAGAGUUGGAAUACACAUCUUUAAAAAGGAGAUCUACAGUGAUUCAGUCACUAUGUAUGCGGUGGACAGUCAGGUGCAGAACCUCCAUAAUUAUUAAUCUUGUGUAGCUGAGACCAUUGUCAAAGGAAAUAAAGGUUUUAUGGAUUCCU
Molecule: long non-coding RNA, 371 nt
Organism: Sapajus apella (tufted capuchin)
Lineage: Eukaryota; Metazoa; Chordata; Mammalia; Primates; Cebidae
Exons: 2
Source: RefSeq, a predicted model, not a curated record